UUGACCUCAAAUCAGGUAGGACUACCCGCUGAACUUAAGCAUAUCAAUAAGCGGAGGAAAAGAAACUAACAAGGAUUCCCCUAGUAACUGCGAGUGAAGCGGGAAAAGCUCAAAUUUAAAAUCUGGCAGUCUCUGGCUGUC
RNAcentral lists this ribosomal RNA (141 nucleotides) under Melanoleuca sp. MSG-2013a. RNAcentral's name for it is "partial 25S ribosomal RNA". It matches the Rfam family "Eukaryotic large subunit ribosomal RNA", at positions 1 to 139 of the family's 3401-position model. The record is from RNAcentral. Lineage: Eukaryota; Fungi; Basidiomycota; Agaricomycetes; Agaricales; Pluteaceae.